Molecule: long non-coding RNA, 2141 nt
Organism: Homo sapiens (human)
Lineage: Eukaryota; Metazoa; Chordata; Mammalia; Primates; Hominidae
Exons: 3
Source: RefSeq, a predicted model, not a curated record
UUUUUUUUUUUUUUUUUUUUUUUUGAGUUUCCCGCUCUUGUUGCCCAGGCUGGAGUGCAAUGGCACAAUCUUGGCUCACUGCAAGCUCUGCCUCCUGGGUUCAGGCGAUUCUCCCACCUCGGCCUCCCGAAUAGCUGGGAUUACAGGCAUGCGCCACCAUGCCCGGCUAACUUUGUAUUUUUAGUAGAGACGGGGUUGCUCCAUGUUGGUCAGGCUGGUCUCAAACUCUCAACCUCAGGUGAUUCGCCUGCCUUGGCCUCCCAAAGUGCUGGAAUUACAGGCAUGAGCCACCGCACUGGCAUGACCAUCUUUUUGUAAGCUGCCCAAAGUGCAUAUUUACUAACUGAUAUAUAGGUUUCUGGUCUGGUAUAGUCUGAUGAGGAAUUAUGCAACUCUGACAUUAAGUUACCUGGCCAACAUGCAAGUUUUUCUUUUAUAUUGAACCCAUGGAUAGAUUAAGAACUUAAUAAUCAUUUUAUAACUUUAAUAAAAUAAAUAUUUUUGCUAUUAGUAGGAAAAAGGCAUUAUAAAAAUGUUUAAGCCAGUUUUUUUCCUAAAUAUACAAAAUAUCUGAUUCCAUUCAAACAGAUUUUGUUAAAAAGCUAGUCUUAGUACAAAAGCAAUUCAACUUAGCAUACAGGAAAAAGAUUUGUGAACAAGAUGCUUGUGAAAAUAGUUGAUGAUUUACAAAUCUAGACUCUGUAUAUUAUUUUAUGUGCACUGCUAGCUCUAUUUACAAACAGCUUUAUGUUUCAGUCACUUAUUUUAUAUCCUAUAAAAACUACAAAAUGCAAGGGAUAUCAGACUAUUCUUCACAUAGCUCUGGUUAGUCACAGAAUGACUAUUAUUAUAGGACCAAAACAAAUGUAUAAAAAUGUUUUCUGCAUCAUCAACAUGCAUGGAUGGUAAAAAUUAUAAUACAGGCUAUUAAAGCCAUAAUGCAUGUUCAAGAAGUGAUGGACAAAAUCUGUUUUAUUUUUUUAAGCUGUUAAUAUGAUGAUCUGCGUUGCUUAUGGCCAUCUUUGCAAAUGUUGCUUUGGUAGACAUCUUUAUAGUGGGAGACGAUGAGGUUGAUUCACCAGUAGGAAAACAUAAACUCCUAUAUUAUUUUUUUCCAACUGUGGCAAUGGUUUUGUUUUUCAUUUUUGUUUUUGAGACAGAGACGCGCUCUGUUGCCCAGGCUGGAGUGCGGUGGCAUGAUCUCGGUUCACUGCAACCUCGGCCUCCUGGGCUCAAGUGAUCCUCCCACCUCAGCCUCUUGAGUAGCUGGGACUACAGGUGCACACCAUCACACCCAGCUGACUUUUCUAUAUUUUGUAGAGAUGGGGUUUGCCAUGUUGCCCAGGCUGGCCUCAAACUCCCAGACUCAAGGGAUCCUCCUGCCUUGGCCUCCCAAAGUGCUGGGAUUAUAGGUGUGGGCCACCAUAUCCAGCUAGCAAUUGUUUUAUAAUAAGUUGUAUUCUCCUGUUUCCUCUAUGACUGGCUAAAAGUUCAUUCACAGUGUUGCUAGCUGAGGCAAGGGCAAAAUCUGUGUCCAUGGAACAGUCUACAGUGAUAUGCUCAAUUGGCAACCGAACCUACAGCCUUGGUUUCCUAGUAAUAGCCAUUCAACAACUGAGUUAGGUAGGAACAAAUGAAACAUACAUAUCGGAAUGAACACGUGCCCAUGUUUCUUCUGGUUAAUUAUGAAAUUAAGAAGGAUUUGAGCCUGCUGUGUUUUUAUACAGAUCAAAAUGAGAAUACAGAUGACUAAACGGAAGUGGACUUCUAUGGAUUUAAUUCAUUCUUAUUUUAAAUUGUUUUUUUAUAUUGCAGAGAUGGGGUCUCACGAUGCUGCCCAGGCUAGAAUGCAGUGGCUUUUCGCAGGCACAAUCAUAGCAUAUUACUGCCUCAAACUUCUGGGCUCAAGCCUCGGCAUCCCCAGUAGCUGAGAAUACAGGCAUGUACCACUGUACUCAGCUUUGUGGAUUUAAUGCAUAUACAAGGUUAGAAAUUCAAUAAGCUGCUUAUGAUGAUGGAGGCCAUGUUUCUCCAGCCAGCUACUCUGAUAUAUGGACAGUGCCUAGCACAAUGCCUGACAAAGAUGGUAUCCCACAAAAUAUGUUGGAGGCUUCAUGAACAUACAUUGAGAUUGACUGCAG